CAAAAAUGCACAUACUGUGAGCUCGAUGAGUAGGGCGGGACACGUGGUAUCCUGUCUGAAUAUGGGGGGACCAUCCUCCAAGGCUAAAUACUCCUGACUGACCGAUAGUGAACCAGUACCGUGAGGGAAAGGCGAAAAGAACCCCGGCGAGGGGAGUGAAAAAGAACCUGAAACCGUGUACGUACAAGCAGUGGGAGCACGCUUAGGCGUGUGACUGCGUACCUUUUGUAUAAUGGGUCAGCGACUUAUAUUCUGUAGCAAGGUUAACCGAAUAGGGGAGCCGAAGGGAAACCGAGUCUUAACUGGGCGUUAAGUUGCAGGGUAUAGACCCGAAACCCGGUGAUCUAGCCAUGGGCAGGUUGAAGGUUGGGUAACACUAACUGGAGGACCGAACCGACUAAUGUUGAAAAAUUAGCGGAUGACUUGUGGCUGGGGGUGAAAGGCCAAUCAAACCGGGAGAUAGCUGGUUCUCCCCGAAAGCUAUUUAGGUAGCGCCUCGUGAAUUCAUCUCCGGGGGUAGAGCACUGUUUCGGCAAGGGGGUCAUCCCGACUUACCAACCCGAUGCAAACUGCGAAUACCGGAGAAUGUUAUUACGGGAGACACACGGCGGGUGCUAACGUCCGUCGUGAAGAGGGAAACAACCCAGACCGCCAGCUAAGGUCCCAAAGUCAUGGUUAAGUGGGAAACGAUGUGGGAAGGCCCAGACAGCCAGGAUGUUGGCUUAGAAGCAGCCAUCAUUUAAAGAAAGCGUAAUAGCUCACUGGUCGAGUCGGCCUGCGCGGAAGAUGUAACGGGGCUAAACCAUGCACCGAAGCUGCGGCAGCGACGCUUAUGCGUUGUUGGGUAGGGGAGCGUUCUGUAAGCCUGUGAAGGUGUGCUGUGAGGUAUGCUGGAGGUAUCAGAAGUGCGAAUGCUGACAUAAGUAACGAUAAAGCGGGUGAAAAGCCCGCUCGCCGGAAGACCAAGGGUUCCUGUCCAACGUUAAUCGGGGCAGGGUGAGUCGACCCCUAAGGCGAGGCCGAAAGGCGUAGUCGAUGGGAAACAGGUUAAUAUUCCUGUACUUGGUGUUACUGCGAAGGGGGGACGGAGAAGGCUAUGUUGGCCGGGCGACGGUUGUCCCGGUUUAAGCGUGUAGGCUGGUUUUCCAGGCAAAUCCGGAAAAUCAAGGCCGAGGCGUGAUGACGAGGCACUACGGUGCUGAAGCAACAAAUGCCCUGCUUCCAGGAAAAGCCUCUAAGCAUCAGGUAACAUCAAAUCGUACCCCAAACCGACACAGGUGGUCAGGUAGAGAAUACCAAGGCGCUUGAGAGAACUCGGGUGAAGGAACUAGGCAAAAUGGUGCCGUAACUUCGGGAGAAGGCACGCUGAUACGUAGGUGAAGCGACUUGCUCGUGGAGCUGAAAUCAGUCGAAGAUACCAGCUGGCUGCAACUGUUUAUUAAAAACACAGCACUGUGCAAACACGAAAGUGGACGUAUACGGUGUGACGCCUGCCCGGUGCCGGAAGGUUAAUUGAUGGGGUUAGCGCAAGCGAAGCUCUUGAUCGAAGCCCCGGUAAACGGCGGCCGUAACUAUAACGGUCCUAAGGUAGCGAAAUUCCUUGUCGGGUAAGUUCCGACCUGCACGAAUGGCGUAAUGAUGGCCAGGCUGUCUCCACCCGAGACUCAGUGAAAUUGAACUCGCUGUGAAGAUGCAGUGUACCCGCGGCAAGACGGAAAGACCCCGUGAACCUUUACUAUAGCUUGACACUGAACAUUGAGCCUUGAUGUGUAGGAUAGGUGGGAGGCUUUGAAGUGUGGACGCCAGUCUGCAUGGAGCCGACCUUGAAAUACCACCCUUUAAUGUUUGAUGUUCUAACGUGGACCCGUGAUCCGGGUUGCGGACAGUGUCUGGUGGGUAGUUUGACUGGGGCGGUCUCCUCCUAAAGAGUAACGGAGGAGCACGAAGGUUGGCUAAUCCUGGUCGGACAUCAGGAGGUUAGUGCAAUGGCAUAAGCCAGCUUGACUGCGAGCGUGACGGCGCGAGCAGGUGCGAAAGCAGGUCAUAGUGAUCCGGUGGUUCUGAAUGGAAGGGCCAUCGCUCAACGGAUAAAAGGUACUCCGGGGAUAACAGGCUGAUACCGCCCAAGAGUUCAUAUCGACGGCGGUGUUUGGCACCUCGAUGUCGGCUCAUCACAUCCUGGGGCUGAAGUAGGUCCCAAGGGUAUGGCUGUUCGCCAUUUAAAGUGGUACGCGAGCUGGGUUUAGAACGUCGUGAGACAGUUCGGUCCCUAUCUGCCGUGGGCGCUGGAGAACUGAGGGGGGCUGCUCCUAGUACGAGAGGACCGGAGUGGACGCAUCACUGGUGUUCGGGUUGUCAUGCCAAUGGCACUGCCCGGUAGCUAAAUGCGGAAGAGAUAAGUGCUGAAAGCAUCUAAGCACGAAACUUGCCCCGAGAUGAGUUCUCCCUGACCCUUUAAGGGUCCUGAAGGAACGUUGAAGACGACGACGUUGAUAGGCCGGGUGUGUAAGCGCAGCGAUGCGUUGAGCUAACCGGUACUAAUGAACCGUGAGGCUUAACCUUACAACGCCGAAG
RNAcentral lists this ribosomal RNA (2574 nucleotides) under Shigella flexneri. Its description in RNAcentral is "partial 23S ribosomal RNA". It matches the Rfam family "Bacterial large subunit ribosomal RNA", at positions 380 to 2925 of the family's 2925-position model. The record is from RNAcentral. Lineage: Bacteria; Pseudomonadati; Pseudomonadota; Gammaproteobacteria; Enterobacterales; Enterobacteriaceae.